RNAcentral lists this long non-coding RNA (972 nucleotides) under Cicer arietinum (chickpea). RNAcentral's name for it is "long non-coding RNA (CARI_LNC002322)". Lineage: Eukaryota; Viridiplantae; Streptophyta; Magnoliopsida; Fabales; Fabaceae. The record is from RNAcentral.
GGAGCGGCCGCUUUGGUGUUUACAGAAAACACAAGAGUUGGUGAGAAAGAAGAAACAAAGAACGAAGGAGAAAUAGGCAGAAAGAUACCGGAAUGAGGCCGCGUGAAGAAGACCGGAAUGAGGCCGCGAGAAGGAGAAGAGACCGAGGAGGAGGGUGCGGCCGUGAGAGGAGGCUGUGAGAGUAGGAUGCGGCCGCGAGAUGAGGCUCCGGUUUCAACGGCGGUGGUGACAAUAUAAAGGUAUGAGUUUUCUCUUUAUCUAUCCUUUUUGUUUUUACACACAAAUUGAAAGUUUUCACUGUAAUAUUGCUCUUCUGAUUAGUAUCUUUUCCUAAUCAAUUUCUGAUCUCGCCUCUCUUUUUCUAUGCGUUUUUUAACUCAAUCGUGUUCUUCUCCCCCCAAAUUUUGAAAUUGAUAAGGUGCUUUUAUAGAGUUUUUUAUAUGUUUAGUUGCUUUCUAGUCUGCAUUGGUCCUUCUCUAUCUAUUUCCUGUUUGAUGUUUUUUUUCUUUGCUCAUCAUCUGCGUUUUUUUCUACACCUCUGAUGCAUUCAUGAUUUUGAUUUAUUUGCUUUGAUCUGUUCUGUUGCUGAGCUUUAAUUUGUCCCUUAGUUUAUUAUUUAAACUCAAAAUUUUGUCUCUUUGUUCUGCACAAAGUGUACCAAGACUGACUUAAAAAAAAAAAAAUGUUUUUAUGUUUCUCUAAUUAGUUACAAAGCAAAGGUCAAUGACAACUACAUCUGAAACAGAAGGGCAGCAACAAAAUAGAGCCAAACACUGUAUCAGAAACAGAGAGGCAGAGAGGCAACAACAUCAACAAAUUAAAAAUUAUUAUAAUUUAAUUUAGUUUGGUUUAAAUCUUAUUGUAAUUUAAUUUUGCCUUUAUUUUAGUUUGUAAUUUGAUUUGGUUUUAACAUUCUAAAUAGAUUUGAAAUUGUAAACUUAUAAUACAUAAUGAAAUUAUUUAUUGUAAUUA